RNAcentral lists this transfer RNA (77 nucleotides) under Alphaproteobacteria bacterium. Its description in RNAcentral is "tRNA-Arg". It matches the Rfam family "tRNA". Rfam says of the family: Transfer RNA (tRNA) molecules are approximately 80 nucleotides in length. Their secondary structure includes four short double-helical elements and three loops (D, anti-codon, and T loops). The record is from RNAcentral. Lineage: Bacteria; Pseudomonadati; Pseudomonadota; Alphaproteobacteria.
GUGCCCGUAGCUCAGUUGGAUAGAGCAACAGCCUUCUAAGCUGUGGGUCAGGGGUUCGAAUCCCUUCGGGCACGCCA